UACGGAGGGUGCGAGCGUUGUCCGGAAUCACUGGGCGUAAAGCGCACGUAGGCGGCUUGUUAAGUCAGGGGUGAAAUCCUGGAGCUCAACUCCAGAACUGCCUUUGAUACUGGCGAGCUUGAGUUCGGGAGAGGUGAGUGGAACUGCGAGUGUAGAGGUGAAAUUCGUAGAUAUUCGCAAGAACACCAGUGGCGAAGGCGGCUCACUGGCCCGAUACUGACGCUGAGGUGCGAAAGCGUGGGGAGCAAACAGG
Molecule: ribosomal RNA, 253 nt
Filed under: uncultured bacterium
Lineage: Bacteria
Description: partial 16S ribosomal RNA
Rfam family: Bacterial small subunit ribosomal RNA
Source: RNAcentral